RNAcentral lists this ribosomal RNA (265 nucleotides) under uncultured prokaryote. RNAcentral describes it as "partial 16S ribosomal RNA". It matches the Rfam family "Bacterial small subunit ribosomal RNA", at positions 524 to 788 of the family's 1533-position model. The record is from RNAcentral.
UACGGAGGAUCCGAGCGUUAUCCGGAUUUAUUGGGUUUAAAGGGUGCGCAGGCGGGAGACUCAGUCGGCGGUGAAAUUUUGCAGCUCAACUGUAAAAGUGCCUUCGAAACUGGUUUCCUUGAGUGUAGAUGAAGUAGGCGGAAUUUGUGGUGUAGCGGUGAAAUGCAUAGAUAUCACGAGGAACUCCGAUUGCGCAGGCAGCUUACUAAACUACUACUGACGCUCAGGCACGAAGGCGUGGGGAUCAAACAGGAUUAGAUACCCU